CCUACGGGUGGCAGCAGUCGAGAAUCAUUCACAAUGGGGGAAACCCUGAUGGUGCGACGCCGCGUGGGGGACUGAAGGUCUUCGGAUUGUAAACCCCUGUCAUGUGGGAGCAAAUUAAAAAGAUAGUACCACAAGAGGUAGAGACGGCUAACUCUGUGCCAGCAGCCGCGUUAAUACAGAGGUCUCAAGCGUUGUUCGGAAUCACUUGGCGUAAAGCGUGCGUAGGCUGUUUCGUAAGUCGUGUGUGAAAGGCGCGGGCUCAACCCUCGGACGGAACAUGAUACUGCGAGAGUAGAGUAAUGGAGGGGGAGCCGGAAGACUCGGUGUAGCAGUGAAAUGCGUAGAUAUC
RNAcentral lists this ribosomal RNA (349 nucleotides) under uncultured bacterium. RNAcentral describes it as "partial 16S ribosomal RNA". It matches the Rfam family "Bacterial small subunit ribosomal RNA", at positions 338 to 698 of the family's 1533-position model. The record is from RNAcentral.